Long non-coding RNA from Xenia sp. Carnegie-2017, 749 nucleotides. RefSeq lists it as uncharacterized. The transcript is spliced from 2 exons. The record is from RefSeq and is a predicted model, not a curated record. Lineage: Eukaryota; Metazoa; Cnidaria; Anthozoa; Malacalcyonacea; Xeniidae.
UCUUUGGUACUAUGAUACAUGCUUCUCAUAUAUAUUUGAUUACUUGUCAACUUGAUCAAACCAAAGAUGGUAGUAAUAUCAUUAAUACAGUUAACUAUUUAUCAAGGUUAAAAAUGUCUAUCUGCACAGAAGUUAUACAUGAUCGAAGUUUUAAGGUCAUUAUAAGAAAAUUUCGGCACCAAAUAAGACGCCGAAUGUGGUCAAAGGACAAUGUUUUUCCUGAGUAAGGGUAACACGUUUUCACGUUUGGAACACAGACAAAUUAACAGACAACAAGAGAGAAGUGAAAACAGAUCUUUCCACAAAUGAUGAAAACAGAUAUCUUUUUGUCUUGACAAUCAUGGAUGUGAUCAUCAAAUUUCUGUUUGGUUGCUACGGUAAAAAUUUUUAUGUAUUUUGUUGGUCGACCAAUAUUCAACUGAUAGGGAGCACAAGCGUACACUGUUAAAGUGAGAGCUCAAGCAGAGAUCUAUUACACGAAAAAACCACAAUUGUAUGUAGAUAUACAUGUCAUUGUUUAUAUUUUCACUUAAGAGGAGAGAAUUUAAUAGCGUAUUUACAUAAGAGAGCUCAACGAUCUAUUUAUGAAAUCAUAUUUGCCAGUCCUAGUCUCCUUUAACACUACGGACCUCUCGAAACAUCAAAAACGAGAAGGUCUUCAAGAUGUAGUUUUUCAAAACCAAAUUGAAAUCGAAAGUACCUUUAACGAAUAUUUGUACAUGUACUGUAAUAAAAUGUAUUCAUAACAA